GAAAUUAUUGUGCUUGAAGUAUUUAGGAAGUAAAUCUCGAGCAAAUUCAGCCGGUCGCCAAACUAUGAAGGUAGAUCCAUCUUCAUUCCACGAGAUGAGAUCGUCCACAGCCGGAUCAUCAACCAAUUGAUAAGUUUUCGUUAGAAACGGCGUCGGUAUAGAUCUCUGAGAAUCUCCUGUUCCAGAAUCGCCGAUCGGUUCCGCCGGCGACGGCGCCAUCGCCUCUUCUCCCAGAUCUGAACCGCAAGGAUCUCCGAUUUUCAACAACUCUCGUCUCAAUCUGAGGGAGAAUCUGGAAUCGGAAUCGGAGGAGUAAAGAAGAGCGCGGCGCCUG
RNAcentral lists this unclassified non-coding RNA (334 nucleotides) under Hevea brasiliensis (rubber tree). Lineage: Eukaryota; Viridiplantae; Streptophyta; Magnoliopsida; Malpighiales; Euphorbiaceae. The record is from RNAcentral.